GAUGAACGCUGGCGGCGUGCCUAAUACAUGCAAGUUGAGCGAACGGACGAGAAGCUUGCUUCUCUGAUGUUAGCGGCGGACGGGUGAGUAACACGUGGACAACCUACCUAUAAGACUGGGAUAACUUCGGGAAACCGUAGCUAAUACCGGAUAAUAUUUUGAACCGCAUGGUUCAAAAGUGAAAGACGGUCUUGCUGUCACUUAUAGAUGGAUCCGCGCUGCAUUAGCUAGUUGGUAAGGUAACGGCUUACCAAGGCAACGAUGCAUAGCCGACCUGAGAGGGUGAUCGGCCACACUGGAACUGAGACACGGUCCAGACUCCUACGGGAGGCAGCAGUAGGGAAUCUUCCGCAAUGGGCGAAGGCCUGACGGAGCAACGCCGCGUGAGUGAUGAAGGUCUUCGGAUCGUAAAACUCUGUUAUUAGGGAAGAACAUAUGUGUAAGUAACUGUGCACAUCUUGACGGUACCUAAUCAGAAAGCCACGGCUAACUACGUG
RNAcentral lists this ribosomal RNA (497 nucleotides) under uncultured bacterium. RNAcentral describes it as "partial 16S ribosomal RNA". It matches the Rfam family "Bacterial small subunit ribosomal RNA", at positions 28 to 507 of the family's 1533-position model. The record is from RNAcentral.